CUGAGAGCUGCUGCUCAGCAACUUCACCCACAGCAACCAUGACUUUGAUCAGCGUCUUCAUCUGCACACUGGCCCUCUGGACUCAAGGAUCCAGAGGUCAGGUGACUGUGACUCAGACUCCUUCAGUGCAAACUGUUGCUCCAGGAAACACAGUCACCAUCAACUGUAAAACCAGUGUGGCUAGUGGUAGCAACCUACACUGGUACCUGCAGAAACCUGGAGAAGCUCCUAAACUCCUGAUCUACGCUGCUGAUACAUUAGAGUCAGGGAUUCCAGAUCGUUUCAGUGGCAGUGGAUCUGAUACUGACUUCACUCUGACCAUCAGAGGAGUCCAGACUGAAGAUACAGGAGAUUACUACUGUCAGAGUGAACAUCAGAUCAGUAGUAACUGGGUGUUCACACAGUGUUAGAGCGUCGUACAAAAACCUCGGUCAGUGAGACUGCACAGAGAAACACUGCUGCAGCUGGGAGUGACUGCAGGUGCUGAGGGGGAGGAUGUGAUACAGCACAAUGACACA
Molecule: non-coding RNA, 518 nt
Organism: Tachysurus fulvidraco (yellow catfish)
Lineage: Eukaryota; Metazoa; Chordata; Actinopteri; Siluriformes; Bagridae
Source: the annotation of a RefSeq genome assembly